Molecule: ribosomal RNA, 253 nt
Filed under: uncultured bacterium
Lineage: Bacteria
Description: partial 16S ribosomal RNA
Rfam family: Bacterial small subunit ribosomal RNA
Source: RNAcentral
UACGAAGGAUUCGAGCGUUAUCCGGAUUUAUUGGGUUUAAAGGGUGCGUAGGUGGACUAAUAAGUCAGUGGUGAAAGCCCGCAGCUUAACUGCGGAACUGCCAUUGAUACUGUUAGUCUUGAGUACAGUUGAGGUGGGCGGAAUGUGUCAUGUAGCGGUGAAAUGCUUAGAUAUGACACAGAACACCGAUUGCGAAGGCAGCUCACUAAGCUGUAACUGACACUGAGGCACGAAAGUGCGGGGAUCAAACAGG